AUUGAACGCUGGCGGCAUGCCUUACACAUGCAGGUCGAACGGCAGCGGACCUUCGGGUGCCGGCGAGUGGCGAACGGGUGAGUAAUAUAUCGGAACGUGCCUUUCAGUGGGGGAUAACGUAGCGAAAGUUACGCUAAUACCGCAUAUUCUGUGAGCAGGAAAGCAGGGGAUCGCAAGACCUUGCGCUGAUUGAGCGGCCGAUAUCAGAUUAGCUAGUUGGUGAGGUAAAGGCUCACCAAGGCGACGAUCUGUAGCGGGUCUGAGAGGAUGAUCCGCCACACUGGAACUGAGACACGGUCCAGACUCCUACGGGAGGCAGCAGUGGGGAAUUUUGGACAAUGGGCGCAAGCCUGAUCCAGCCAUGCCGCGUGAGUGAAGAAGGCCUCG
RNAcentral lists this ribosomal RNA (387 nucleotides) under uncultured bacterium. RNAcentral describes it as "bacterial SSU rRNA". It matches the Rfam family "Bacterial small subunit ribosomal RNA", at positions 30 to 419 of the family's 1533-position model. The record is from RNAcentral.